This is a non-coding RNA of Phasianus colchicus (ring-necked pheasant), 3542 nucleotides long. The record is from RefSeq and is a predicted model, not a curated record. NCBI's taxonomy places the organism in Eukaryota, Metazoa, Chordata, Aves, Galliformes, Phasianidae.
GAAGGGACCUCUGGAGCUCUCCCAGUCCAACCCCAUGUUACAGCAGUUCCCUGAGGAUCUGCACACAAAGUGGGCUUGGAUCUCUCCACGGAAGGAGACUCCUCCAUCUCUCUGAGCUCAGUACCAGGGUUCUGACAUCGCCACAGCACAGAACUUCUUCCUCAUGGCCAUACGGAACAUUCUAGGCUCCAGUCUGUGCCCAGUGCCCCUUGUCCUGAUGCUGGGCACCAUGGAACAGAGCCCAGCCCCAUCCACGUGACUCCCAUUCUUUUGAAUAUUUAUAAUCACCACUUAGAUCCCCUCAGCAGAGGGAACAGGUAGUGGUAUUGGCCUUGGGACUGAAGAACCCGUGGUUGAGAAUCUAAUGAAGUUGAGGGCUCCUAGGAAAAAAGUGAGGAAAAGAAAAACAUCUGCUCCCCAAGAUCCCACAGCAGCUUUCUGCUUGUCUUAGCACACAGGGCUAGCAGCAGCAUUCUAACCCUGAGGCUCCCAGCAUAGAGCAGCUCAAUACACAUGUGGCAAUGCUAAGUCCUAAUCAUCCUCAGCUGCUCCACCACCCCACCCAUGAGCUGGGCUCCAUUUAAGCUCCAUCCAGGGCACUCCUUCUAGUUAGAGAUCUGCUGUGGGUCUGCCUGGUCUCUGAGGGAGCUCAGGCUUUUCUGGCCCUGUGUUCCUUGCCUUGGCUGAUGGUGGCCAGAGAUGUGACCCUUACUGGGAUGCUGCUGGAUGCACCAGGGUGCUGUGUGCCUGCUCUUACACUGUGGUGCCCUGUAUGAUGGAGGAACUGCCUUGUGCGAUGCCCUGGAAGCCUUCCCUAAAUAUGGUGCAAGCAAGCUGGCUCUCACACAACGAUGCAUGAGGAGCUUGGCCCAGAGGAGAGGUCUUCCAGGAUGCCCUGCUUGACAGCAGGCAGUGCCUGUGGCUUCAGCUCUGACAACAGAGCCUGAGGGUGAUGAGUUCUGUGGGAAAGAUUGACAAUCUUUUACAAAAUACUUGAAGAGAAGAACAGCAUUGUAAAACGCCUUUCUCCAUUGAAGGAAAAAAGCUUCAAAGAAGGGCAUCUCUGGCUUCUGAAGGGGACAACCGAGGUGGGCUGUCAGCUUGACCUUCGUGCUGGUAUUGAAUCCACUGCUGGACGAGGACUGCCAUGGAAGCUGGGGCUGGUGGCAAAGUCAGAGGGUAAACUGUUCCCUAGAAUCCGUGGUAUCUAUUUCUAAGCAGCAGUCAGCCAUUAUUUGGCUUCUUCAUGAAGCAGGAGAAUUGCAGUAGGUAAUCAUGUUGACCGCUCAGAGUUGGAAGAUAUGUUCCAGAUUUGUGCUACAAAUAGAGAGGCAUUGUUAUUUUUGUCACAGAUUCGAGGGGAUGAAUUUGCAUGUUGUUGCCUUUAUAGCCAAAGCUCCUUGUAAACAGCAAAGAAAAAAACAGCAAAUGAUAAAAAAAAAAAAGUGGAGGAAAGAAUCAUAAAGGAAGGUGAGAAAGCAGAGUGAGGCACGUGAUACCUGCAGCACUGAAGGCAGUGACGCAGUGGGAAAGGCAGAGUCACAGGAGCCUCUUCCCCCUGGUUGAGUGAAAACCCAACUAAUGCCACAUUAGGUUCUAAGAUUCCAAGAUCUAAUAGGACAUGUAAUUGUGAUGCUGAAGCUAAUCAUCUCCAGCCAUCCUUGCACUGGUGUUAUUGCCUGCUAACAGCCUUCAGAGCUCAGAUAGAGCAGUACAGCCUGGUGCUCUUUCCCUCUUCCAAUUACAUUUUUUUUGACAUCUCAGCUUUUGGCAGUAGUUUCUGGUCUUGCAUUCUCUUUGUUUACCACAUGCCAUUGUUGUACAGCUCAGGCACUGUCUUUCUGAUCAAACUGGAGCUUGCCAUUAAAUCAGACUUGUUUAUGUGCAGGUGCUGCUUGCAGCUGAGCGCUUACCCUGUGCAGCACAAGCUCUGGCACUCAUACAGUGUGUGCUUUGGGAAGGCCAGCAGUGGCCCUGCAGGCAGGGGAAAUACAUGGGGGAGGGGCUCACCCCAAGGCUCAGCACUGCUGGUGGCACUGAGACCAGGUAAGGUUGGUUUUGGGGGCUCCAAACACGUGGGACUCUGGGUUCUUUCCAUAGACUUGGUCAGCAGAAAACUUGAUUUCACAGAAUCAUAGACCCAUUGAGGUUACUUGGUCUAAGGUCACUAAGACCAGCCCUAAUCCAUCGCUGCUGUGCCCACCAAAUCCUUUAUCCCAGUGUAUCCCAAGGCCCUCACACAGCCCACCCCAGCUGUGGCCCCACUGUCUCAAUAACCCUUCUGUGCUCAGAGGCACCUCUUAAUUUCUGUUUGACCUUGGCUUUAUGCUGGAGCACUGCCACAGCCACUGAUGUCACAGAUUUAGAAAGAGCAACAGAAAAAUUGACUUUGAAUGUUGAAGAGGGAAGCAGAUGCUUCUCCUUCAUUGUGGAAAGAAACAACAUGAAGGUUGCUAGUGCUGAAAGGAAGUACUGUCAAAUCAAUGGGAGAGCUUUGGGUACCAUUCUCUAUGGAAGAGUGUUGAUUCCUGGCUGAAAGCACACUUCUGCCUGAGCGCUCAGGGCUGGGUGCUGCUGGAAUCUGGGGGCACUGUGCAGCUUAACCGCCUCAAGCCACUCCUGUACAUGAUUCUUCAGUUCUAUAUUGCUCCACUGAAGCUAAUGAUAAUCAAGAAUUUAUUUUUUCUGCAUAAUCUACACUGGCCUUUCCACGCAUUAAACCCAAGAUCGCACCACAUCAUUUAAAAUUGCAUCCAGAAAUGAUUUCCUCUCUCUGCUGAAGCCUCUGAACGUCUGCUGUGCAGAUCUGAAAUUGGAUUACCUCUCCCUGGCAGCAGAGGAGAUGAGGGCUGGAGAGAGCCAGAGGAAGCAUUUUGUUCAAAUUUAUUGUCUAACUAAAUCAAUCUCCAUAUGAAAAGACUUAUAUCUUAGUCGAUGUGGGCUGUUUUUAGCCCAGACACCAAUAAAUUGUGGUCAAUCAGAGGAAGGCAGCAAGCUGCUUUUUGGCGGAGCCCUGCCUCCACUGAGCUCUCUGUUUCUGGUUUUCAGCUCUGCCACUGCAUAGGCUGAAAUUUUAUUUCCUUGCCUGAAGUGUCUCAGUUAUCAGUGUUGACCGAGCAGUUCACCUGCUUCUGAUAUCGGUGUCUGCAUUAGGGAAUGGAUGUGGGAACUGAAGACUGCACUGCGAGAGAUGGAGUGAGCAUGGGGAGGUGAGCAGAGGCUGUACACUGGUGCUGGGGAUGUUGGUGUGCUGAAGCUCCAACCCCCCCAAAUGGGGCACUGGGAAUGAAUUUCAGCAGCUGCCCCCAUACCAAGAACCAACAGAUUCCUAAAUGCUUUCUCCCCCUGGAGCCGUGGUGGUGGGGGACCAGCAUCAGGGUUAUAUGAGGGAGGGGGCUUGGAAGUAUGUAGAGCUGGAGGGCUGCUCCAGCACCCUCCUGCAUGUACAGGGAAAUAGACUGGUUCAGUGAAGCAGUGCCAUGCUGACAUCUGCUUCUCUGUAAUAAUCCUGUGCUGUGUAAUAAUAAACCCACAGUGCUCCA